Molecule: ribosomal RNA, 939 nt
Filed under: uncultured bacterium
Lineage: Bacteria
Description: bacterial SSU rRNA
Rfam family: Bacterial small subunit ribosomal RNA
Source: RNAcentral
GAGUUUGAUCAUGGCUCAGANUGUACGCUGGCGGCAGGCCUAACACAUGCAAGUCGAGCGGAAACGGCAACAUUGACUCUUCGGAUGAUUUGUUGGACGUCGAGCGGCGGACGGGUGAGUAAUGCUUAGGAAUUUGCCCAGUCGAGGGGGAUAACUAUUGGAAACGAUAGCUAAUACCGCAUACGCCCUACGGGGGAAAAGAGGGGACCUUCGGGCCUUCUGCGAUUGGAUAAGCCUAAGUGAGAUUAGCUAGUUGGUGAGGUAAUGGCUCACCAAGGCGACGAUCUCUAGCUGGUCUGAGAGGAUGAUCAGCCACACUGGAACUGAGACACGGUCCAGACUCCUACGGGAGGCAGCAGUGGGGAAUAUUGCACAAUGGGCGCAAGCCUGAUGCAGCCAUGCCGCGUGUGUGAAGAAGGCCUUCGGGUUGUAAAGCACUUUCAGCAGUGAGGAAGGUAUAUACGUUAAUAGCGUAUGUAUUUGACGUUAGCUGCAGAAGAAGCACCGGCUAACUCCGUGCCAGCAGCCGCGGUAAUACGGAGGGUGCGAGCGUUAAUCGGAAUUACUGGGCGUAAAGCGCAUGCAGGUGGUUUGUUAAGUCAGAUGUGAAAGCCCUGGGCUCAACCCGGGAAGGUCAUUUGAAACUGGCAAGCUAGAGUACUGUAGAGGGGGGUAGAAUUUCAGGUGUAGCGGUGAAAUGCGUAGAGAUCUGAAGGAAUACCGGUGGCGAAGGCGGCCCCCUGGGCAGAUACUGACACUCAGAUGCGAAAGCGUGGGGAGCAAACAGGAUUAGAUACCCUGGUAGUCCACGCCGUAAACGAUGUCUACUUGGAGGUUGUUCCCUUGAGGAGUGGCUUUCGGAGCUAACGCGUUAAGUAGACCGCCUGGGGGAGUACNGUCGCNAGAUUAAAACUCAAAUGAAUUGACGGGGGCCCNCAC